UCUCCACUCGGCCGAACCCUAGGUUCUCACUUUUCAAGCACCAAACCGCCAUAAAAAACGGCGUCUGGCGCGUCUUGCUCCGAUUUACUGCUCUUUGGCCUCAAAAUCCUCCCCUUUUAACUUCGAUUUCGACAAAGCAAGGGAGGAUCGUCGGCCAAAUCACACGGUAUAGCCCCUUUUUCUCUCUUUUUGUUUCUUUAAAAAAAACAAUGCCGAAAGAUUUGAGUAAAAAUCAGUAAGAAAAAGAAAAAAAGAUUAUAGAAGUCGAAAGUGGGAAUCACCUUCUAUUUUUGAUUGCUUUCUAUUGUCUCCGUAUGCGUAACCCUUUACAAAGAUUAAAAUUAUGGCUUUAUAGUCGAAAAUGGUAGAAAUAAAUAAAUAAAAAGUACAAAAUUCUUUCUUUUUUCGCAUUGGGCAUGUGCUGCUGUUGUUUUGUCUGUUUGUAGGUACGGAGUGCGCGUUGGCGUGUGUACGGGAGCCGUGUUGGCGUACGGAGGCUUGGCGUGGUUGCUGGAGGCGUUGUACGGUGCCUGGAGGCUGCAGGGGUUGCUGCGGCGCAAGCAGAAGCUGCUAGGGUUUCUUGGUUUAGGCAUUAGCCUUAUUAGGCCUUUUUUUGGGUGUUGGGUCAUUGGCUUGGGCUUGUAUAGGGUAUUAGUUUGUAAAAGGACAUUAAAUGGACUGUGGGUUAUUUAUUUAUUUUAUAUUUUUUUUGGGUUUCUAAUGGGCUGGACAAAUUGGCCUGUUUACAGACUGCUGACUUUUUUUGCAUUGAUCCAGCCUAGUUACGUAGUUGAUCAA
Molecule: long non-coding RNA, 798 nt
Filed under: Gossypium barbadense (sea-island cotton)
Lineage: Eukaryota; Viridiplantae; Streptophyta; Magnoliopsida; Malvales; Malvaceae
Description: long non-coding RNA (GBAR_LNC009914)
Source: RNAcentral